Molecule: long non-coding RNA, 1664 nt
Organism: Junco hyemalis (dark-eyed junco)
Lineage: Eukaryota; Metazoa; Chordata; Aves; Passeriformes; Passerellidae
Source: Ensembl
UUUUUUUUUUUUUGUUGGCGGGGCUGGCGCCAACAAAUCCUGUGGAGAAGAGAGCGCUCGGCACGAGCUUUUUCCUGGGAAAAGAAGAGGAAAAACCAAAUAUAGAUAUAUAUUAUAAAUGUAGAAUUUCCAUCAAACAUAUAUUAAGGCAUGUAAAUAGCAAAAUAAAGGGCCAGCUUUAUGAGCUAAAGGGGCUGAGGGAGGCUCAGAUGGGAGUUUAGGGAUCCUACAAGUAUUGCUAAGUUGGGAUUGGGAUGCAGGGAGGGUCCUGGGGGUUUGGGAUGGGGCCAGGAGGGAUGGAUUGGGAUUUGGGGUUGGAGAUUUGGGAUUUGAGAUCCAGCUCCUGGCCCCUGCCAUGCUCACAUCCUUCCAGGGAUUCUGCUUCUUUCCCACUCUCUGGGAUGAUAAAGAAAAGGGGGAAUUUGCUACAGGAAAUCUGAACCGCUGGAAGGGGCUGGAGAGCUGCUGGAAGGGAUUUUUGGAGGGUGACAGCAGGUGACACCUCUGUCCCCAAACCCCUCCUCAGCACCGUCCCCACCCUCCAGAGGGGUCCCUGCUGACCCCACAGCUCCAUUAUCCCACCUGGCACCCCAAUUCCCUGCUCUGCCCCCAGAGCUCCUGCUCCGAGCUUGGAGCGCCCCGGGCACCUCCGUGUCCCCCAGUGCCACCUCCAUCUGUCCUGUCCCCUCUCCCUCCAGCUGAGCCACCGGGGGUGACACAGAUGGGCUCCAAAAUCAGGGUCAGAGCUGAGGGAGCAGAAACGGCGCCCGAGGAGCCCAGAGGGAGCAGCCAGGUCCGCUGGGAGGUGGCAGCACCAUCCGUGGUGGGGACAGGCGGGUCCCCACCCCAAGAGCCCCUUCACAGACCUUGGGGGCCAUCCCAGGAGUCCUGUGCUCACCAGGGGUCGAUGGCCACUGUCACAGCUGUCCAGGUGUAUCCUGGUGGCCGCUGUCACAGCUGCGUCCCUAUGGCCACUGUCACAGCUGUCCGGUUGUGUCCCUGUGGCCACUGUCACAGCUGUGUCCCAGUGGCUGCUGUCACAACUGUCUGGUUGUGCCCUGGUGGCCACUGUCACAGCUGUCUGGGUGUGUCCCUAUGUCCACUGACAGCCCUGGUGGCUCCUUGGGGACAAUGCCAGCCCCCUGCCCGUCUCCUUGGGACGUGCCUCCCGUCGGUGCCACCUCUCCCGCUGCUGUCGCCGCCGGAGGGAGGGAAGGGGGUCCGGGAGAACCGAGGACGGUGGCGAGAGCUUCGGUGUCACCUCAGGAGGGGCCUAAAACGUGGCCCCGUGGAACUUGGUGGCGCCAGCAGCUGCCAGGGCUUGAGCUGGGGGUGGGACAGGACAGAGGGGCUGAGCUGGGGGGGCUCCACCCCACGCCCACCCCCCAUGGGAAACACGGCCGGGAUUUGGCCCCAAGAAUCCAGGGGAGGUUGGGACCCCCCGCUUUUCAUGCUGGGCCCCCCCUUUUCCCCCUUUGGCUUUGCGGGGGGCACACGGUCCAUGGAGGAGGCGGGGCUGACGUGGCAGGAGGGGAUGGAGGGGAUGACGUCAGAGAGAAGAGGUGCUUACGUCACAGGCUCACACCCGCAUGAGGUGGCUGCUGUCGGCCCGGGGCGGCUCGGACGACAGCGGGUUGGUCGGUGGAGUCGGGGAGGCUGGGGAG